GGCGAGUGAAGCGGCAAAAGCUCAAAUUUGAAAUCUGGUACCUUCGGUGCCCGAGUUGUAAUUUGGAGAGGGCAACUUUGGGGCCGUUCCUUGUCUAUGUUCCUUGGAACAGGACGUCAUAGAGGGUGAGAAUCCCGUGUGGCGAGGAGUGCGGUUCUUUGUAAAGUGCCUUCGAAGAGUCGAGUUGUUUGGGAAUGCAGCUCUAAGUGGGUGGUAAAUUCCAUCUAAAGCUAAAUAUUGGCGAGAGACCGAUAGCGAACAAGUACAGUGAUGGAAAGAUGAAAAGAACUUUGAAAAGAGAGUGAAAAAGUACGUGAAAUUGUUGAAAGGGAAGGGCAUUUGAUCAGACAUGGUGUUUUGUGCCCUCUGCUCCUUGUGGGUAGGGGAAUCUCGCAUUUCACUGGGCCAGCAUCAGUUUUGGUGGCAGGAUAAAUCCAUAGGAAUGUAGCUUGCCUCGGUAAGUAUUAUAGCCUGUGGGAAUACUGCCAGCUGGGACUGAGGACUGCGACGUAAGUCAAGGAUGCUGGCAUAAUGGUUAUAUGCCGCCCGUCUUGAAAC
Molecule: ribosomal RNA, 558 nt
Filed under: Saccharomyces cerevisiae (brewer's yeast)
Lineage: Eukaryota; Fungi; Ascomycota; Saccharomycetes; Saccharomycetales; Saccharomycetaceae
Description: partial large subunit ribosomal RNA
Rfam family: Eukaryotic large subunit ribosomal RNA
Source: RNAcentral